GACGAACGCUGGCGGCGUGCCUAAUACAUGCAAGUAGAACGCUGAAGAGAGGAGCUUGCUCUUCUUGGAUGAGUUGCGAACGGGUGAGUAACGCGUAGGUAACCUGCCUGGUAGCGGGGGAUAACUAUUGGAAACGAUAGCUAAUACCGCAUAAUAGUAGAUGUUGCAUGACAUUUGCUUAAAAGGUGCAAUUGCAUCACUACCAGAUGGACCUGCGUUGUAUUAGCUAGUUGGUGAGGUAACGGCUCACCAAGGCAACGAUACAUAGCCGACCUGAGAGGGUGAUCGGCCACACUGGGACUGAGACACGGCCCAGACUCCUACGGGAGGCAGCAGUAGGGAAUCUUCGGCAAUGGACGGAAGUCUGACCGAGCAACGCCGCGUGAGUGAAGAAGGUUUUCGGAUCGUAAAGCUCUGUUGUAAGAGAAGAACGAGUGUGAGAGUGGAAAGUUC
Molecule: ribosomal RNA, 453 nt
Filed under: Streptococcus sp. oral taxon 064
Lineage: Bacteria; Bacillati; Bacillota; Bacilli; Lactobacillales; Streptococcaceae
Description: bacterial SSU rRNA
Rfam family: Bacterial small subunit ribosomal RNA
Source: RNAcentral